GUGACGAUGAAGAUGAUGAUGAUGAUGAUGAUGAAGCUCCCCCAGGUGUGGAUACAUGGGAUUUGGUCACAUUGGUGAAGAUGGCAUAAUCAGGAGAAUUUGGAGGAAUUUUGAGUAGCUCUGCGCUCAUCAACAAGGAAAUUAAUGUAUUUUAAUUUAGAAGAGAACUAUAAUUAAGUAGCUAUAAACAUGGUAAAAUGAAUCCGACAUAAGUAUGCAUAUAACGAGAGUAAAUUUGAUGAUAAAAAUAAAUCUAGCACCAUCAUCCACAGAGAAUAUCUUCCUAAUACAACCAAAUAAUAUGAUAAUUUUAUAUGAAGCAAUGUGAACAAUGAUAAAAUCUCAUACAACCGAUCAGAUGGUUGGCAUUGAGACAUAAGUAUUACUCCAUCUAUGUAAAGAUAUUUGAUUGAGCAUGUAAUUUAAGCAAAGGCCAAUGCAUAGUUCAAUAUCAGGUUCGUUUGAAUCCACUACUUUCAACAUGAAAUAUGAAGUUGUGUGUAAAUAUCAACUAAAACUACAACAAACGGUAGGUAUGAAUCCAUAAUCGGUCAAUGUUAAAAUCUUUAGUGAUUGAAUACACAGAAUUUAAAUCCUAGAUCGUGCAUCUUUGAGUUUAAGAAUAAUAGAAAUACUUUUGAAACUUAUGAUCUAAAACAAACCACAAGUAGUUGUAGAAUUUAAGUUUUGUACACCGUCGUGUGCCAAAAAAAAUUGCACCAUAGGUAAAUGUCCGUGCUAUUGCAGGUUACCAAUUCUUUUAACUAUUUUUUCCUUUCUCUAAAAAUUGCACCAUAGGUAAAUGUCCGUGCUAUUGCAGUUUACCAAUUCUUUUAACUAUUUUUUCUUUUCUCUAAAAAAUUAAAUGAAAAAAAAAACAUUACUGCAGCAUCUCCUCUAAAUCUUCUGACUUAAAUCUCUCCUCCAAACCCUCCUUCCUUGUUUAUUUACUUGGCUUGCUGUCCAACCCCAUAUGUUUGUCAUCACUUUAAUAUGAUUGAAGCACUAAAUAUAGUUUAACAUUUUGAUGCAAAUUCUUAUAAGAUAUUAUGCUUACCAAAUGUAAAGAAAAAGAAAAAGACUAAAGUGUGCUUAUAUAGUAGGCUAAAAAAAUAACAGUUAUGUACUUGUGCUAGCCCUUAAUUAAGCAAAAGAAACUCUUCUGGUCGAGGGUGGUAUAAUCACUGAGAAAAUAUUGUCUUCUCGCAAUGUUCAAAAUAUCUGAGAUAUGGAUAGAUUAAUUGUUGAUAAUGACGAUCUUGUUUAAGAUUAAAUUAUGAAACCAUCGGAAUUUAAUCUUUAUAUAAUAAAGGAGAAUAGUCUAACUUAUAAUUAAGUCAAGCGACAUCUUAAAAACUAGUCACUUGUAUUUUACAACAAAAAAUAAUUUUAUAGAUUAUUUAAUUAUUUCAUAUUUAUUGAAUAUUUAUUUCAUAUUGUGGUAAAAAAAAAAAAAAAAAACUAUGUUUGACUCAUAUUGAAUGAAAACUAUUAAGAUUGACUCCUAUUAGAUGAAAAUAACUAAAAUUUCUCUAAGAAAAAUCGUCCUCUUGAAUUAUGUAUAAAUUAUAUCAAAAAAAACUCUUUAAUUUUCAUGUUUCAUAUCUUUAAAUAUUACAUAUCUAUUUCAUUAUAGUAAAAAAAUAACUAAGUUUGAUUUCUAUUGGAUGAAAACUAUUAAAUUGACUCCAAUAGGACGAAGACGAUUGGGAUUUUUUUUUAUUAUUAUUGUGGUUUGAAAUCAAUGGGAGUGUAAAUAAUCAAUUAACUAAUUUUAUUUAAUCUAUUGUGAUCUUAUUAUUGGUUUGGAAAUUAGUUUUACUAAUAAGUAUUGUUUUUGUGUAAUAGUAAAUUUGCUAUAAUCAAAUUAAUUAAAUUUAAUUAAGUAACAAUAAUUUACUAUAAUUAAAUUUAUUAGAUUAUACAACAACAACAACAAACCCAGUGUAUUCCCACUUAGUGGGGUCUGGGGGGUAAGAUGUACGCAGUCCAUACCUCUACCUCUGAUGAAGUAGAAAAAUUUAUUAGAUUAUAUUGAGGUAAAAAUCAGUUAAUUAUAACAACUAUUUUAUUAGUAAACAAAUUACAAAAUUCAUAAUCAAAUUUAACUAACAAUAGAUUAGGAUGAUAUCUAAAAUCAAGCCUCUUGAAUUAUACUUUACAUAAAUUCAAAUAAUAAUAUUUCGAAUUUAAGUAAUAUAAAAUAUAGAUUUAUUAAUAAUUAUAUCUUUGAAAUAAAUGAGAUUGCAACUGAUGAAUUUGCUGGUUUAAUGCAACCAAUUGUGAUAGUAUUGUAAUACUUUGAAAGUAGCAUUGCCUACAGAAAGUAGUACAUGCAAAAAUUGAAUCGAUAAAACUAUUGUCGAUUUAUUCUUAUUGGGAUUAAUGGUUUUAUAAACUUUUUUAUUGGGUUAUUGGUUCGAAUUGUUUUUUUUUAUUGGGUUAUUGAGUAAAUCGAUAACCCAAUAAAAAUAUACUAAAUUACUACUUUUUAUAUAUAUAUAUAUAUAUAUUUAUAUAUAAAUCUUUUAUUAACUUAUUUCUUAAAUCUUUUUGGGGGAUUAUGCAAAUAGACGUUCAUAACACAAAUCUAUUCAUUUCCUGAAAAUCUAUAACUCGAUAAAGUUAAACAUUUUUAAUUUCCUCUUUGAUAAAUCAACGGUGAGGGUUUGCAACGACAACAGCUGCAUAGUUUGUGGACAGGAUAAUGGACUUCUUAUUUGUGGAAUUUAGCACUGGAAGGCAUAUGCCAUGUUAGCUGCUAUUGUUCUUAUUUUGUGAGCAUUCCUAUUGAUGUCAUGUUAGUUGCUACUGUUACACAAAAUUGAAAAUCAGUGUGUCAAAUUGAUAUUUAUUUUGUGAAUAUUUUUUAUUGGUUAAAUCGGAAAUCGAACUGUUAAGGAUCAAAAAUUGAUAAAAUGAAAAUCGAUAAAUAAAAAAUAUCUUAAUGAUUGGUUAUUGAUUUAGCAUAUUUAAAAAAAAUCAAAAAUCGAUCAACCGAAUUGAUAUUACAUUAAAUCGAACUAAACCAACCGAUGCACACCACAAACACAAAGAAGUUUUUAUGGAUAAUUUAUAUUGUGAUUAAGAUUAAUUAAAAUUGACUCCUAUUUUCACAAUAAAUAUAUUUCAAACUUCCUAAAAAUAUUUCACUUGAUUAUGAUAAAAAUCAAUACUAUACGUUAAAAUAUUUUAAGAAAUAAGCAUUCCUAAUUAUUGAGCGAACUUUUAUAAUUAAGAAUAGUCAUUAAUUUUUAUGUUUUAUGUUUGGUAAAUUAAGAGUGAUUAAAGGAAAAUUAAUUACGACAGAUUCUAAGAGAAGAUGAAGUCACACAAUAAUAAAAAGUUAUUGAAAAUUCUAUUUUCGCUAGUCUUUUUCUUUUAUUAAUUAAUUUUCUUUAUUUUAUUUAAACAAAAUUAAUAUUUAAAUAAGAUGAGGUGAUGAAUACAAGGUUAAGCCAAGUAUCAUAUUGAAAAAAUAUUGUAAACAAAUAUUAUUUAAUAAUUAUCUGAAUUACAGUUGUGUGUUACUAUAAAGUAAAUAUUGUUAUAAAUGUAUUUACAUUAUAGUGAAUGUCUAUCAAUGUCUAUCAAGAAUAUUAAUUUGAUCUAUCAAGAUCUAGUUGAUAUCUAUCAGGAUUUGAAAUAUCUUUAACUAGGAGUAUUUUCCCAAUAAAUAGAAGGAUUUUGUUCAUUGUAUGCUCAAUCAGAUCUCUGAUCUCUCAAAAGAAAUAAAGAAGCCUCUUCCCUUUUCUCUCUAUUUAUUUUUGUUCUUGCUUUAUAUUUUAUAACACGUUAUCAGCACGAGACUCUGCCAAACAGGAUAAUCUUAAAGUUUGUCAUAUGCCACGAGAUGGUAAGAACAAGGCUAAUGACGCAAAGGUCAUGUCAUAGACCCCGCAUUCAAAGAUGAAAUCUUUUUCAUAAGAUUUCAUGAAAGUGGAUAAUUAUAAUUUCUUCAUUUAAAUUUUGAUCAAAUUAUGUGUUCCCUGGCAGUUUGUUUUUAAUUCAUUAUAAUAGGGGUGGUGUUACUAUAUUUUUCCGGUCUCUGUAUUUGUAAAGGAACAUGGUAGAAGCAUGCUUACUUUUUAGACAUGAUAUCAUGACAUAUAACAAAUAAUAAAUUUGGUAUAUGCAUCUCUAUAAGUGCAUGCAAUCAAGCCAAACAAUUUCACUAAGAUAUAUGAUCAAGAUCUAACGUCCCCAAUUAUUGUUAUUAAUAUAUUUGUGUAGACUUAAUAUUUUUGCAGAUCUUGGUGGAAUUGUCGUGGAAGACAAAUUUUCAGUUUGAUAAUUUAUUUUAUCAAGUUUUGAUAAUUCCAAAAAUUUGUAUUAAUGUGAGUCCUCUAAUUAUAGUUGAAACUCAAGUUGAUUGUGCAGUUUGACAUAUUAUGUUAUUGAUUAAGAAUACAAUAUUGGGUUCAAGUCUCAUGGAUUUAUGCCUAAGAUACCUUUAUAUGGAUAAGACGUUGAGUUUAAAUCUCAAUGCACCAUACUGAUGAUAUUAUGAUGGUCAAGGCAAAGUAAUGUGUAUUUGAUGAAAAGUAUGUGAUAUGCUCCAUUCCAUGAAAGGAAUGAGAAAGCAAUAUAUGAUUAGUCUGAAGAUGACAAAUUGUUUCAUUCCAUGAAGUGAAUGUGGUAGCAAUAUAUGAUAAGUCUGAAAGAUGACAAUUUGUUCCAUUCUUGAAGUGAAUGUGGCAGCUAUAUAUGAUAUACAUUGAAAGAUACGUAUGCCUCAAUGUAUGCCUCAAUGUGAUCUUGAAGCAACAAUAUCAUGAAAGAGGUUAUAAGCUAUCAGAAUUUGAUAGGCUUAAGGCACGAUUAUAUUUUAUUCCUGAAAAAUGAGAAGUUUAUUAAUGCAAACGUGCACUUGAUUGUGAUGGUAUCACAACUCACCUCCGAAAGAGGUUGAAUAGUUGAGAAGAGUUAUUUUGAAAUCUACUUGUAAAGUAGUAAAGCUGAAAUUUAUUCAUGUAAUACUAAAUCUGAAUUUAUUAAAGUAAAAGGUGCAUAUCAUGGUAAACUUGGAGUUUUUUAGAAUAAAAGUUCAUAAAUUGACCUGAACGAUUGCGACAUCCCAAAGAUGUACAUACUGAAUAUUGAACACAUAUAGAAGAAUUAGAAAAUUCUUCAUUACUUUUAAUGUUGCUUGUUCUUAUGAAAAGUUGGUUGGACCAACUAAUUUGGGGAUUGGAUCCCUUAAAAUCCAGAAAGUAUAAAAGGUGAAUAAGGGCCCGUUUACCUAUGUGAUAUUUUGAAAAGAUGCAUCAAUAAGAUGAUCACAUGCACAUUCAUUGUCAAUCUGCUUUGUCAUUCAUAAAGUUGCUUGCUCAAUAAAAUUGAGUUAAAAGCAUGACUUUCAGACUGUGUAAUAAAGACAAUUCAUCUUGAUGAUGAUGGCUUAGCAUUGAAUGCCUUCGAUAAAUAGCUAAACCAUUACUAAUGAGAACAAAGCUUCACGUGUUGGUCUGAAAUAUGAUAUGUUGCAUACAAUAGCACUUGUAUGCAUUAGACCAAUAAAUUAUAAUAUUUCUUCCCUCACAAUUGGUUCAAGGUCAGGAACCAACUAUUUCAUCUAAUAAUUUUGAUGUGCGGUAUAUGAUUAAGAUGCACAAAGAUGGAUUUUUCAAAGAAGAUGGAGGAUUUAUGUUAGUUUUUCUAACAUAAGGGAGAGAUUAUAAGCGGCUAUGAAAUAUGUUAGAAAUUAUCACCGGAUUCGCAUUCAAAAGAUAAUUCAAGUUAAAUGCCGAAAGCAUCUCAUAUUUAAGCUGCAAGUGCUCCUAUUUUGUGUGCAUGAAGGACAAAGUCUAUGCAUGCGUGAAGCGUGGUAGACCAAUCGGUUCUAAAUAAAAUAAUCCUUGAAAAGGAUAAGGAGCAAAUAAUCAUAAUAAGAAGGCAAUGUACUCUUGAAGAGCCUACGAUAUAACACUUCAUGAAACCUUAUGAGAGGUUCAGGUACCUACAAAUAAUGAAGUGAUGAGAUCUCAAAAUGUUAUGUCACAUUGUGAACCGAGUAUAAAAUGAUAUAUCAUCGAUGAUAUCUUUGAUAUAAUAUCGACACAAUAUUGUAAAAGGUUACGAAGAUCUAAAUUCUACGUUUAUUUAAGCAUGCUGACGUAGAAACAUGUAUCAAGUAAUAUGAAACGAUGCAUCUUGAUAGCAUAAAUAUUAUUUGAGUUACAGUCCAGAUACUUGAAGAUGUCACUCAUGAAAUAUUGAAUAUUGUCACUUGAUAAAAUUUCCAUGAAAACAUGUUUAAGGAUUAAAAAUGUUUGAAGCAUUUAAAAGUUUCUGGAAAACUUAUUUAUAAUCCUUAUGUCACGUAAAUUUAUUAAAACUUUUGAAAAGUUUUCAAAAUUAAUAGAUUGUUUGCUGAUAUGAGAAAUAUACCAAAUUGAAUUGGUAUUGAAGUACCAUAUCUUAGUGCAAGUGGUGCACUAGUAUAUCUUGCAAAUAUUACAAGGAUAUAGCAUUUUCAUUUAAUUCGUUAGUAGGUAUAUUUAUAAUCCUACUAGGAGACAUCAAAAUGGGAUAAAAUACAUGAGUUUAUUUUAUUCUAAAGCUUGCAGUCCCGAUCUUAUUAGUAAUACUGAUGUUGGGUACUUAUCUGAUCCACAUAAAUCUUGGUCUUAAACAUGUAAUGCGUUCACAUAUGGAAAUACUUCCAUAUCUUGGAGAUAUACAAAGCAGUUUAUUGUAGCCACCUCAUCGAAUCAUGCUAAGAUAAUAGUUAUUCAUGAAGCAAGCUGAGAAUAUGUAUGGUUGAUAUCCAUGAUACAUCUCAUUUGAGAAAAAUGUAGUUUGAAAUGUGACAAAGUACCCAUGAUUUUAUAUGAAGAUAAUGCAGCAUGCAUAGCACAUCUUAAUGGAGGAUUCAUAAAAGGAGAUAGAAUGAAGUAAACUUCAUCAAAGGUUUUCUACAUACAUAAGCUACAAAAGAAUGGUGAUGUUAACGUGCAACAGAUUCGUUCAAGUGACAAUAUGGCUGAUUUAUUCACCAAGUCUCCUCCAAUUGAAACUUUCAAGAAGAUGGUUGAUAUGCCUAAAUUACAACUCUCGUUAGAAAUUGCAAGCGGUCGCUGUCAAAUAUAGAACCCAACUGGGUUGGGUGUCACAAUAUUGUAAAAGUUUACGAAGAUCUAAAUUCUACGUUUAUUUAAGCAUGCUGACGUAGAAACAUGCAUCAAGUAAUAUGAAACGAUGCAUCUUGAUAGCAUAAAUAUUAUUUGACUUACAGUCCAGAUACUUGAAGAUGUCACUCAUGAAAUAUUGAAUAUCUUUUGAUUAUCAAUUAUAUUCAAAUAUUUGUCACAGAAAGUAAUCCAAAUGUAGGUUAUAUUCUUAAUAGUAAUUCAGUAAGAGAAGUCAAACUAGAGUUAUGGUUACCAAGAUGCUUAGGCAACUAGGGUUGUGAACUAUAUUGGGUUCCCAAUGAAUAAUUCUUAUUGCAAAAUUAAUUGGAUUCUAUGAUUUACCCAUUAGUUUCUCAACCUAAAUGAGUAACUUAUCCCUUAAUUCUUUUAAACUUAAGGAACAUAGUAUUAAUUCAACUAUUAUCUCACAUGGGUUGAUCCGGUGAAGGUAUCUACCCUCUACCAAAGGUUAAAGCCUUUAGAUUUAUGUAAAUCUUUUCUUUUCCUAACAAGCACUUUUCUAUUUGAACAAGUGUUGUUCUUGGCCUCGUUUUUCAAGUUUGCAACCAAGAAAAGUCAUUAAAGUGAAGAAGAGUUUAUAUAAUAACAAUUACUCAUGGGAAUCUACUAGAUUCACAAUCCAAAAUCAGUUUUUCCCAUCAAGGAUCCCAUAACCCUAGUUAUGGGGGCAUAGCCACACAUUUCCACCCAAGAAAGAGAAGUAACCAUUGUAUUAUUCAUAAAUUAAUUCAAAGUUUACUUACAAAAGUCACAAUUAUUGUUCUUCAAUCUUUAAUAGAAAAUAUGAUAAAGGAAUCUAGAUCCACAAAUCUCCAAUGAAUCUUAGAGAAAAAUUAUGUAAUAAUGUAUUUUCAGUAUGGAAAACCUAAUAAAAUAUAAGAGAUCCCUAAUAAAACCUAAAACUGGGUAUUUAUAUGUUCCCAGCCAAAAGGAAUUUAAAAUUCAAACUUAAAAUCACGCGUCCAAAGUGACGGACAAAGUGGUGGUCUGUCGCAAGGUUGAUGGUCCUCCAUUUGGUCCGUCCCUGCUGAUUUAGAAAGCCAUUUUCUUGAUAAGACUGACGGUUAAAGUUGUGGUCUAUCGCAAGACUGACGGUCCACCAUUUUGACCGUCGAUGAUGAUCCUUGAGAGCCAAGUUCUGGAUGGUCUUGACGGCCAAAGUGAUGGUCCGUCGUAAGACCGAUGGUCCACUAUGUUGGUUGUCGUUGAGCAUUUCAGGAUGCCUGGUUCUGUUUAGUGCUGUCGGCUAAAGUGGUGGUUCAUCGCAAGAGUGACGAUCCACCACAUGGGCCUUCGUUGGGUCUUCAGAAGUUAUGGCUUCUUUUUGGACCUGACGGUUGAGUUGGUGGUCCGUCGCAAGACUGACGGUCCACCAUUUUGACCGUCAGAAGUGUUUUUUCCGCUAAUUUUCUGAGUCUUUUUCUUCAGCUAGCUCCUUACCCCAAAACACUAAAAAACAGCCUUAAAUGCAACCUUGGUUGCUUGAAAACAUGCAAUUUUUCCUAGAAAAAGAUAAAAAAUACUACGUCAAAAGCCGGAAUAUCAACACCCUCAACAUAAGAUAAUUGUUUGUCCUCAAGCAAAUCAGCACAAAAUUGCAAAUAUGAAUAAUACAUGACGGUCAUUUACUACUGAACCAAUUCUCACACAACCAUUCACUUGUCAUCCAAAUCAUAUGGCUUAACAUGUCAGAGUCUAUAAUCGGCAUUAUUUUAAAUUCAAUUCAUCUACACAAUAUGGAUACAAGAAUCUACAGAGAUCAGCCAAAUUAAGUAUGACUCAUGUUUCCCUCAUAGAGAAGGGGAUCCACCACUCAGUAUAUUUUGUAGAUACAAAUCAAAAUCCUCUCACUCAUCAAAGAAGUAACCAACAUAGCACAUGCACCCAUAAACUUGCCUUUAUAAUCUAAUGCCUCCAUUAUAGCUGAGUUCCAAGAUCAAGCAUGUCUUUUCUAGGCUAGUAAUAAGGUAUCAGGCUAGGUUAUGAAGGAAUUUUGGACAAAAGUGACUUAAGAACAAGGCUUUAACUCUCUUUGCCUUCAAAUUCUUCUUGCCAAGGCCAUUUCUUUGCUAGCUCACUUACCCUUUUCUCAUUCAUUCAUGCUUUACCACAAUAAACCUCUUUUUUAUAUUACACACAAGCAUCAGCCCCCCUCAACUUAGGUUGAUGCCAUAAGUCAAAGUGCACAUUGUCUUAACUAGACCAGGGCCAAUACUCAAAUUCAAAUUCUAGACCAACUUUCCGUUAGGCAGUUAAUAGUCCUACAAUAACCACCCUCAACUUAGGUGUUUUGACUAUGUUUAGGUAUACAUUGCCCAUUACUAGGCCAAGGCCAGAGCUAGGAGUCAACAACUGAAAGAGAGUUAACUAGAAUGCUUGGUGGUGAAGAAAAAUUAACAAAGCCUCAAAUAAGGGUUCAAAAAUGGAAAAAUAUUUUUAGUAGGGUUAAUUACUUUGGCAAAGUGGACUAAAAUCACAAGGUAGCCUACCAUCCCUUCUUAUCUCAUCAACUACAGAAUAGUAUCAAUUGAACCAGGCAAGUUUUAGGUACUAUACUAUGUAAGAACUAAUACAAAUACUCUCACACACAGUGACACUGAGUAACACUCAUUCUACUGUUCUUAAGAUUUGCAUCACAUGUCAUGUAUAUUUACAGGUUAAUGCCAACUACAGAUUCACUAAUAGUUGAGCACAUAUCCUAGGGGACAAAUAAACAGUCAUAUGGAAAUAGUCCUAGCUUGGUGCCAACAUCAUUCAUCAUCCACAUUUACAACAAGAUACUAACACAAACAGCACUAUUAUUCCAUGGACCAACAUUGACAACAUAACAAGACUUAAAAAGAAAAAUGUGAAUCUGAAGUUAAAACUAGAAAAAGAAAAAUACCAACUUAACAUGAUCCUAGACAUGUCGAUUCUCCUAGAUAGCACAUGGUAGGAUUCAGAAUAACGGCAAUACCACCCCCAUGAUAUAUGUACACCAUCCAAGUACACCAUCUCCACAUUAAAAACAUAUGCAUUAUCCUUAAAGCAUUAAAUUGAAGUACAAAGGAAUAGGUAUACUUAUUUUUUGUCUUAUUCAUCCGAGGCAUCUGUGAAGUAUGGUGAGGCUCCUGUGUCCUCACCUGGUGCAAUUUUGACCCCUAUGGUGGUAGGGGAACUCAAAACCUCACCCUCCUAGAUCGGAGGAAUCAUCUCUCGGACUGAUGCUGAACUUUGUCCCUUUGCUGGGGCAUCAGUUGUAGAUACUCCUGUUGCUUCAUGUUCCUCUUUCUUCUUUCUCUUUUUUUAUCUUUAUUUGAUUUCUUGAUCUUUUUUUAGAUCAUGUUGUUCCUAUUCCUCCAGUGUUAUUUAUGCUCUCUUUCUUCUUUUUUUUAGCUCACCUUAUAGCUCGUGCAUCCAUGUGUUGCUUUUAUUUGUCUUUCACAGGUCUUCCCAUUAGGUCCACAAUGCCUUCAUCAUCGUCACUUACUAGUAAGGCUGGGUUAAAAAUAGUCUAUUAUGGCUGCCUUUCUUUUAACUCUGCUUAUCAGCCUUCGCCUGCUCAAAUUCAACCAUGAGCUUGGCAAGAUCAGGAAGAGACAGUGCAUCUAGCCUUUUGUUGAUGCGGUGUUCCAUGUUGUCCAUCCUAGCCUGAAUAGUUUGGAAUAGACGGAUUGCCUCAGCUACAAUUUCUUCAACAAAAGGCUUGAAUUCUGACGCCCAUUUAUCUAACUAUUUCUAAAACCUCUUUUGGAGCUUCACCGAUUUGCAAAAUUUUCCUGCGUUAACCUGUAUUCGGCAAAGUCUGCUUGACCCAUAGAUGAUGUAGAACCUGACCCUGCAGAUGUACUUGGAGGCACAUACUCAGGUGUCACAUAAGUGGUGAUGGGCAAAGGCAUACCUAUAGGAAUUUUAGUAGCAUCGGGAGUUGGUGCAGAUUGAGUCUGGUAAGCAGGAGAUUUGGUGACAUGCAUCUCAAAUUUUGAGUCAUCUUUUGACUUCUCAAUGUCUUGUCUAUGUGUAUCCUGGACUGCGUUAUUAACUCCUUGAAUCAGAGGCACACCUGAUUGCCUACACAACUCUGUGAUCAAGCAUGGAAACGGCAAUGCACUGGCAGUUUUAUUUGCCCUUACGAAUAUCUCAUCUGCAAUAAUCUAGCCGAAGUUAACUUGCAGCACUGAAACCAAGCUGGCCACCAAUACAGCUCUGUGUUUAUCCAAGUUUCCAUCACCUUUUGUUGGCAUCAGCCUUAAGCGAACAAUGGCCCACCAGAACUUAGCCUUGAAGCUAAUGGAAUAUUUUGCAAUACGCUCCCGUUGAUUGGUCAACCAAGAAGGGUUACUGUCAUUAGUCAAUAAUGAAGCCACCCAAGGCCUUUGAGUCGAUGCAGUCCUCAACCAAUACUCAAGAUCAAGUAUAGCAUAUGGAUCCUCGUACUCUGGCCCAAACAGCAUCCUAUUAAUUGUUCGGCAUGAAAUAUCGAUAGUGACUCCUCGGACAAGUACUGACUCUCUAUUCAACAAUCUUGCAACUAGCAUCCCUUUGGAUAGUUCUUUUUUACUAAUCCAAGAUAAUUGGCAAAGAAUUCUCUUACCCAAUUCAGUUGAUACGCUCCCGGUGUCCUGCUCAUCCAUGCUAGUUCAUACUCGUUGAAACGACGUUCCAACUCAGGAUAUUCAUGUAACUCCGCUAUCAUAAUCUGAUGUUUCUCCACAAAUAGCCUUUAUAUCCCUCUUGUUGUAGGUGCCAAUCCAUCGUAGAAUUUUUCUCUUGCUCUCUCUAUCUUCCAUCUAAUUGCCUCUUGAACGUAACGAUCCUUACACUUGAUAACGUUAGCAUCCUUAGGUUCAAUAUGCAUAUCGGUUGUUUCCAUUUGUUCUCUCACGUUAGUAGCCUCAGUUCCACCCUCAAUAGGCUCGGGUUGAUUUAUAGCAACCGUUGUCUCGUCUGGGCUUGAGCUGGUACUGUUUGUACUACUAUUGCUCUUCUCUUCAAACUGGGAGAGCGUGGGAUUUUCUCUUUCAUAUUGCUUGGUGUUGUACGCGAGUGCAGAUUCUCCUCUACCCCUUUGGGAUCUUCCUCCUCUAUUUGGUGGAAGUUUAUGAGCCAUAACACUUGAGAAAGAAGUAAGGAAUUAGUUCACAACACAAAAACAGCCUAACAGUGAAAACUUAGACUUGACAGCCACACUGGUGGUCCGUCAGGCAAUUGGUGGUCCACUAGGUGGGCCGUCAGGUCCUAUCUAGAAGACCUGAAAAUUCAAGGAGUUACGACGGUCCAUAUGGUGGUCCGUCGCAAAGUUGAAGGUCCAUAUGGUGGUCCAUCGCAAAGUGGACGGUCCACCACUUUGGCCGUCGCAUCUUAACUAGUGGGUGUCAUUUUUGGGGUUCUUGUGAUGGUCCAUUUGGUAGUCUGUCGCAUAAAUGACGGUCUAUUAUUUCAACCAUCGCACACCCUUCUUAAGAUUCAGGAUUCAAUUUGGCAUUUUGUCUAACAUUUAGCAUACAAUCCCGACUUUUUUAGCAAAAAUUGACACUAACUUUACAUUUAUGCACACAAUUUCACACUUUUGAGCAUACGGGUUACUCAGACUUCACCCACAUAAUGUAUAUUACCAUUCCAUACUCAAAACAAGUUAACACAAGAAUAAAAACAAGAUGAACUUUUAUCAAUUAACCAAUUAUUCAUUUCAUAUUGUAGCAGUUCAAAAAAAAAGACAUAGAGGUGCUCAUACCUUGGUUUUGCAGAAGUUUCUUUUUUACUUGCUUGCAAAUACUGAAAAACAAACUUAACUUAAAACUCUAUAAUUUCUUUCAAGAAUGUUUGAGAUAGAGAUAAAGAAAAGAAAAGGGUUUGCUUAAAUAGAGCAAAAAGAAGUAGAUGGAGAGUCCUAGGAAGAUUAAAUGCCCUCAGAUUCUUUGAAUCUAAUGGAAUUUGAUCAAUUGAAGAAGUUGAAAAGGGUACAACGUAUGUAACCACUCUUUUACCUCUUUAAAAUAAAUUAGCCAAAUAUGGGUUACUUAAAUAAAUCUCAAUUUUAACCUGACCCGACCCAGUGCUAGGGUAACAGCGACGGUUGCUACGACGGUCCGUCGAAAAUAUGAUGGACUACCAUUUGGGCCAUCACUCCUUACCAGAACAUGGUCACUUCAGCUUAAUUUCGAUGGUCCAAGUGGCGGUCUACCAAAUUUGUGAUGGUCCACCA
RNAcentral lists this long non-coding RNA (13338 nucleotides) under Capsicum annuum. RNAcentral describes it as "long non-coding RNA (CANN_LNC017450)". The record is from RNAcentral. Lineage: Eukaryota; Viridiplantae; Streptophyta; Magnoliopsida; Solanales; Solanaceae.